GACGAACGUUGGCGGCGUGCUUAAUACAUGCAAGUCAACUGAAGCAGUGGUAGCAAUAUCGCUGUGGAGGUGGCGCACGGGGGAGUAACACGUAGGUAAUCUGCCUUCAGGUCUGGCAUAACUCCGGGAAACCGGGGCUAAUAGCAGAUGAUGCAGCGGCUCGACAUCGAGACAGUUGUUAAAGCUAUGGCGCCUGAAGAUGAGCCUGCGUCUGAUUAGCUAGUUGGCGGGGUAACGGCCCACCAAGGCAACGAUCAGUAGCUGGUCUGAGAGGAUGAUCAGCCACACUGGAACUGCGACACGGUCCAGACUCCUACGGGAGGCAGCAGUAAGGAAUAUUGCUCAAUGGGAGAAAUCCUGAAGCAGCAACGCGGCGUGAGGGACGAAGGGCUUUUGCUUGUAAACCUCUGUAGUGAGAGAAAAAAAUCCCAAUCUUUGGGACAUGAUGGUAUCUCAAAAGUAAGCCCCGGCUAACUACGUA
This 481-nucleotide ribosomal RNA is filed under the name uncultured bacterium. RNAcentral describes it as "partial 16S ribosomal RNA". It matches the Rfam family "Bacterial small subunit ribosomal RNA", at positions 28 to 507 of the family's 1533-position model. The record is from RNAcentral.